Long non-coding RNA from Junco hyemalis (dark-eyed junco), 286 nucleotides. The record is from Ensembl. Lineage: Eukaryota; Metazoa; Chordata; Aves; Passeriformes; Passerellidae.
CCGGAUUCUGGGAAGGAAUCUCUGCAGAUUUUAGAGAGAAUUCCCCCGUGAUUUUGGGGUGAAUCCCCCCAGAUUUUGGGGUGAAUCCCCCCAGAUUUUGGGGGAAAUCACCCCAGAUUUUGGGGCGGGGUUUCUGCAGAUAUUUUGGGGCGAAUCCCCCCGAUUUCGGGUCACUGUUUCUGCUGCAGCGCCUCCUUGCGCGCCGCGUCCUGCAGCAGCUGCGUGUCCACCUCGUCCGCGGGCAGCUGCACGUAGCGAACCACGGAGCCGCGGAUGAAGCAGUUCU